RNAcentral lists this ribosomal RNA (256 nucleotides) under uncultured bacterium. RNAcentral's name for it is "partial 16S ribosomal RNA". It matches the Rfam family "Bacterial small subunit ribosomal RNA", at positions 524 to 777 of the family's 1533-position model. The record is from RNAcentral.
UACAGAGGUCUCAAGCGUUUGUUCGGAUUCAUUGGGCGUAAAGGGUGCGUAGGUGGCGCGGUAAGUCGGGUGUGAAAUCUCGGAGCUUAACUCCGAAAUUGCAUUCGAUACUGCCGUGCUCGAGGACUGGAGAGGAGACUGGAAUUCAUGGUGUAGCAGUGAAAUGCGUAGAGAUCAUGAGGAAGACCAGUGGCGAAGGCGGGGUCUCUGGACAGUUCCUGACACUGAGGCACGAAGGCCAGGGGAGCAAACGGGG